GACGAACGCUGGCGGCGUGCUUAACACAUGCAAGUCGUACGGUAAGGCCCUUUCGGGGGUACACGAGUGGCGCACGGGUGGGUAACACGUGAGUAACCUGCCCACAACUUUGGGAUAACGCUAGGAAACUGGUGCUAAUACUGGAUAUGUGCUCCUGCUGCAUGGUGGGGGUUGGAAAGCUCCGGCGGUUGUGGAUGGACUCGCGGCCUAUCAGCUUGUUGGUGGGGUAGUGGCCUACCAAGGCGGCGACGGGUAGCCGGCCUGAGAGGGUGACCGGCCACAUUGGGACUGAGAUACGGCCCAGACUCCUACGGGAGGCAGCAGUGGGGAAUAUUGCACAAUGGGCGCAAGCCUGAUGCAGCAACGCCGCGUGCGGGAUGACGGCCUUCGGGUUGUAAACCGCUUUCAGCAGGGACGAAGCUUUUUGUGACGGUACCUGCAGAAGAAGCACCGGCUAACUACGUG
RNAcentral lists this ribosomal RNA (465 nucleotides) under uncultured bacterium. Its description in RNAcentral is "partial 16S ribosomal RNA". It matches the Rfam family "Bacterial small subunit ribosomal RNA", at positions 28 to 507 of the family's 1533-position model. The record is from RNAcentral.